CUGUAGUCCUGUAGUUGCUCGCGCCUACAAGUUUGAGACCAGCCUGGGCAACAGGAGGAAAUCUCUGCGCCAAUAAUUAAUUAAUUAAUGAUUGAUUAAAAUGUAAAAGGAGGCAGAGAGCCAGGCAAGGCUACCCAAAGUCAGCUCCCUGUGAAUAACGGGCAAGGUCCCCGCCACCCCCGUUUCAGACAGUAGCCAAAGCAGCCCAGGUUCCCACCAGGAGAGCCACCGAGGGGCUUGGUGCCGCUCCAGGCUCGCCAGAGGUCGGGACUGCAGGGGCCCUGCCCCCUGUGCCGCCAGCCCUGCUCAUCACCACCGCCAGCCCGCCUCCAGGGCUGCUGGGGGAAGCGGUCCAGCUGGCAGCAGACACUAGGACGUGCGGGGCGGCCCGGCCGCGGUCCCCGGUCCCCGUGGGAGUCUUCAGCGCCGCAAGAAGUCGCUUUCUCAGGGUACCUGCAGGGGUCCGAGCAGCAGGGCCUGGUUCCUUGGCGUCCUAUGGAUCUGCACCACUCUGAGCUGAGUGGUGGGUAAGAGAUGCGCGUGGAGAGAAAGACUUCGCCGGGAGAAAGGAGGCCGCGCGCCAGAGGUGCUCAGUUCCGAGUUUCCUUGAGCUGGGCCCGGCCCGCUUUCCCCACUGAACUGCCGUCGAGUGCACAGCCCCCCCCCCCCGCCCACCCCGAUCGAUCGUAAAGUUCCAGAAGCUGCAGUGACGACCGGCCCGUCCUUUCAACCCGACAGCCGGAUCCCAGCCUUGCAGGUGCGGGGCGCGGGGGACCGGAGCGGUUCGGGACCCAGGUGACGCUGAGCCCCGGGGCCCUCGGGCCCGCUAGUGCAGGGAGUUGGUGCCCCGGAGCUCAGGGACAGAGAGGGUCAGAGAUGGGGCUUGAAACGGGGUGCGGGUGCUGCCCAGAAUGCAAAGUGAGCUUCCCGGCCGCCAGAGCAUCUGGGGGUUUCUGUCCGUCCGUCCGUUUGUCUUUGCUUUCGGUCUUUGGCGGGAGCAGAACUCACCCCGGCGGCGUCUGCAGUCCCCGGGGCGGCCUCAGGUUCUAGCCGUGCACGAGACCGGUGUGGACCGGUGCUGCGGGAGAUGCCGAGCUCGGUCAGUCCCUGGGCCGCGACAGGAGAGGAGAGGACGCUGGGGACCGCAGAGAAGCAGAGCCCAGGGGACCCGAGCCCCCGGCCUGGCCGCGCAGUUUUCCUGGCGGGUUUCCGUGGUGUCCUCUCGCAGGUCCGGAAGGGGGAAGGAUGUCAGAGGCCCUGCCCACCUGAGGGCCCGGCUGGCUGCGUUCGAGGCGAGAGGAGACAGCCAGUGCGAAGCUUCCGGAGGUCUAGGACAAAGCCUAAAGGGAUUGGGAAGCGCAGGUUCCUGGCGUUACUGCCUCGGAAAACACGAAGGGAUGGCACAGGAACACGCGCGGCCUCUUGGACCGGCACCCUGGAAACCGCAUCCCCGGGGCCCCGACGGGAGUGCCGGGUGGGAGGCAGGGACUCUGAGCGGGAAGGCGACUGAGAGUGGGCCUGCCCUGGCCUCGCAGGAAGGGCACCCCGAACCGCCCUGUACCCCCGAAGGCCGGGCAAUCCUCUUCCUCAGCAGACCCUGCGGGCAGCUUUCUCUACAACAGGGGACCCAGGAGACAAGCAGCGGCCAGGACUGGACCCAGGCCGGCAGUGGACAGGAGGCCGGAAGCAAGAUGCAGACUCGGAGCUUGGAGCUCGGAGCUCGGGGCUCCCAGGAAAUGCACCUCUGACUUGCAAUAUGGCACCAGAGGAGGGCCGCUGGCUGGCAUGAGAGUCCCUGAAGAGUAAAAGAAUGCUGGGGCUGGAGAGAGGAACACCGAAGGGGAAAGAGAAUGCCCCGAGGCGAGGAGGAAGCGGACCUUCUGCAGGCAGCCACCCCCAACUCCAUCUAAAGUCCCGUUUCUCUCCCCUUAGGUCACGAUGGAGGGAGGCAAAUCUCUGCUCUGACCUGUGAACAAAAGCUGACAGCUCUCUAUAGUAUUAUCUCCUUGAUUUUAGGCCGAAGCUCACAUCUUGUUUCCCAGGUAAAGGGAAUAUUUCAUCAGGCCAUAUUUCAUGCCAGAAACGUGCCAUUUUCUAGAUCUCAGCUGACCUGAACUCUAUGCUGUUAAUGGAACUAAAAUACAACCAACUUGCCACCCCCAAGAAGUCUAGAGGACAGGCCUGGGGUGGAAGGAAAGGAGCAGAGAGAAGGAAAGACUACGAGGCUGGCGCCUGGGCGUGAUUAGACCGUCUACCCCGCCCGCCGCAACCUCGCAUAUAGCCCACAAGGUGGCGCCACAAAGCAGUCGCAGCGGGACGAACCAACUGCGAGUCCAGCGAGGCGUAUGUCCGUCACCGUCCGGGUUUCCAAUACCCAGGACGUGGAGUUACAGAAGUCGCCACGUGAAUUUUUUUUUUAAAAAG
This is a long non-coding RNA of Heterocephalus glaber (naked mole-rat), 2424 nucleotides long. The record is from Ensembl. Lineage: Eukaryota; Metazoa; Chordata; Mammalia; Rodentia; Bathyergidae.